This is a long non-coding RNA of Pseudophryne corroboree (corroboree frog), 412 nucleotides long. RefSeq lists it as uncharacterized. Lineage: Eukaryota; Metazoa; Chordata; Amphibia; Anura; Myobatrachidae. The transcript is spliced from 4 exons. The record is from RefSeq and is a predicted model, not a curated record.
GUGACAUCGGUUUAUUUCUCCUUGCUCAGACUGUGACAUCGUCCCGGGUUGUAUUUGGAAGUCGCACACUGUAGCGCUACACAAAGAUGAUCCCUGUAUAUGUCGUGCUCUUAUCCAUGGUCACAGCUGUACAAGCUGAAACCAAAUGCUACGAAAACCUUGGAUGUGUCACAAAUGACGGACCAUAUGGAGACUUACUGCUGAGACCAUUAUCUAUGUUUCCUGAUUCUCCAAAAACUAUUAACACCCGAUUCCUUCUGUUCACUGUGAAUAAUACCGACCACUAUCAGGUUGUUAGCGCAUAUAAUCUCUCCUCAUUGCGGGAAUCAAAUUAUAACUGCAGCAGAAAGACGAUAUAUAUUGUGCAUGGAUUUAUUGAGAAAGGCACUGAUCCCUGGCUGGUUGGUCUGUG